AGGCAAGCGAGCCUUUUUGAAAAAUAACAAAAGAAGAGGAAAAAAAAAAAAUCCCUCCCGGAAAAAAAAACAAAACACAAAAAAACCUAGAAAAUAGGAAAAAAAAAAGGACCUCAUAAAUGAUGCAAUUACUUUUAAUUGCAGGCAACUCUUUACAUUUAAGUGAAGUGUCUUAACAUUUUAUAUUGUUUUAAAAAUAUAUUUACAUAUUAUAUAUAUAAUAUACGUAAUAUAAAUAUAUAUAAAUAUUUAAAAAAGAAAAAAAAAGGAACCCACGGCCCUCUUCCCUGGCCGCUGUCGCGGCAGGGGCGGGGCCUGGGGACAGCAGAGGCGGGGCUGGCUCUGGUCGGGGAGGCGCUGGUUAGGUCCGGGGUACAGGGAUCCGGGCCUGGGAGGGGAGGGGGAGUGGUGCCCCCUCCUCCCUCCGCUCCAUUACUCUGCUUGCUACUCUGCUCGCCCCAGCACCUCAGCCCUUUGACCUGACCGCACCCCGCUGUCAUUGUCCUGAGUUGAUGUCCCUUGUGGGGGGAGGGGGCGUCCAUCCAAGUGGGGCAGAUGGAGGGCCCACCCCACCCCACCACCCCAGUAGAGUCUAGGGGGACCCGCAUUUUUCUCGCUUUAGUUCCUGAGCACGAAUGGGCUGGGAGGUACUUGCUUGGGACUGUGUGCAGUCUGGGUGUGUGCGGGUGUGCACCGGCACGAGGCCGCUCAGCUGUGCGUGCAAACGCAUGAGGUGUGCGUGCACAGGCAUGGCCUGUCGUGUGUGGGGGAGGGGAGACGUGAGCCCGAAGGCGCGUGUGAGCUGCGAGGGCACUGGCGUGUGCCUGCCUGCGUGUGCCUGUGGGGGGAGCUCUGCGCGUGCGAACACGUGUUGUGUGUGUGCGGACGUGCCUGGCUUCCAGAGAGUCGUCACGUGGGGACCACAAGCGCGUGGUUAGAGGGUCUUGCUAAGUGACUAAGUUGCCUGGGCUGGCCUCAAACUUGCCAUCUUCUUGCCUCAGCCUCCCAGGGUCUCAAAGCGAUCCUCCCAUCUCAGCCUCCGAGUGCUGGGAUCACAGAUGUGCACCACCACGCCAGCUGCCUCUUGAUUGGGCUGCAGAAUCCAUUCACAUCCACUGUAAUUGCUAUUAAGGUUAAGGUUCGAUGCUUGUUUUGUUACUUUUCCCGUAUGGUCCCUGUUUUGUGCCUCUAGUCCUCGAAUCCUGCUUUCCUGUAAAAUAUUUUCUAAGUUACCUUUUGAAUUCCCUUUCUGUUUCAGUUACAAGACUUUUUGAGUUAACGUCUUAGUAGUUUCCCUGGGGAUAACAACUAGCAUCUUAAUUUCUAGUUAAGAUCUAAACCAAGCUAGUCCGAGUUAACUCUAAUUUUAAUAGUAUAUAAAAUUUUUCCUCCAAUAUAGCCCACUUUCCUCCCACUUUCGCACACACCAUUGUCAUACAAGUUACACCCUGACCCAACAGUUUUGUAAUUAUUGCUAUAUGUGGUAAAAGCACGAAGACAAAGUUACAACAAAAUGUUUCGUUUGUCACCCU
Molecule: long non-coding RNA, 1532 nt
Filed under: Heterocephalus glaber (naked mole-rat)
Lineage: Eukaryota; Metazoa; Chordata; Mammalia; Rodentia; Bathyergidae
Description: lncRNA (ENSHGLG00100037929.1)
Source: RNAcentral